UGAGUCCCGCGCACAUACCCGUGUUCUCUUGCGUCAGGAAUCCCGAAGCAACUCAGUCGCACGGGUGUCUCGAUUGUUUCCUGCGCAUUCUGACAAGCGUCCAAGGCCUGGAUGCUGGGCAUCAGAACAAGAGGACUCCUACAUCCUAGGAGUAUAGAGUGCAUUUCCCGGACGGCGCUGGAGUUCAGUGAAAUGAGCGAGAACCAAGCCCGCGCCUCGUUCAAGCGACUCGCUAGGCAGUGUCGAGAGCCUCUUGUGAAGAAGCAGAAAACCGUACUUGACACUGGGGGCGGUGAUCUGAAGCUUGCAGUCAUCGGGAACGGGAGCCCCGGGAACCCGGCCAACGUUAUUCUGUUCGGCCCUGGGGGUGGAUACCUAUUCAAUUGCGGUGAAGGCACGCAAAGAUUGUGUAAUGAACUCCGGUUCAAGAUGAACAAAACAGGGAACCUCUUCUUCACCUCACCAACAUGGAAAAACAUCGGUGGUCUUCCCGGCUACUGUUUGACCGCGCAAUCGAUGGGUCUCUUAGCGAUGAAUUUUCAUGGCUCUCGGCGGGUGGUUCGAUUGAUCGAAUCAGCUCAGCGACUGAUCAAGGUCGACUUUCUGUCGGUCGACUACCACGACGAAGACCUCUACCAGGACAGCCAGGUUAGCAUCAAGCGAGUCAGACUGGUGAGCUCGUCACAGAAAACCGACGGCCUCGUUUCCCCUGAUGAGGUUUACGCUUUCAUCUGUAGAGGCAAAGAUUACGUGGGGGGGUUGAAUCUGAGCAAAUGCGUCGAAUUAGGCAUACCGGUGGGUCCAUUAUUCAGUAAAAUCAAGUCAGGGGAAACGAUCACUCUGGAGAACGGCACCGUCGUGACCCCGCAAGACGUAGUCGGUCGCUCUCGACCGGGAACCGUUUCAAUAAUUCUCGAAUGUCCGUCGGAAGAUUACGUGGACUCGCUGGUGGCCUCAGAGAAAAUUCAGGCGCAUCAGGAUCGUCCUGGAUCAGAUGAAAAGUAUCUCGCUUCUGUCGUGGUGCACAUGACUCCAAGCGACGUUUAUGCAUCGGCGAAGUACCAAGACUUUUUGAAUCAUUUCCCGGACACUUGUGGGCAUAUACAUCUCUGUGAGAAGAACACAACUGCUUGCAGUCCCGGUGCUGUCAGGAUCUCUGCUCAGUUGAAUCUCAUCAACGAGGAGAUUUUCCCACUGCUGCCGGCGAAUGACGGUGAGAAAGUUUACCCGAUGGACGGAAUCACGUUCCGUCACCGGGAAAAGAACGAACCUUUAGAAGAAACGUCUAUAGAGAGCGUCAUCAAAGAAACUGAGGAGUACACAGGAUACCACGAGAUUCGCGCUGAAUUGAAGAAACGUCUAGAAUCGAUAGAGAACACCGAUCACCGCGAAUACCCGAAGGUGACAUUCCUCGGCACCGGCAGUUGUACGCCAUCAAAAACCCGCAAUGUGUCUGCCAUUCUCGUUCAAUCGUCGGAGAACGCGGCUUUCCUGCUCGAUUGCGGUGAAGCUACAUCGAGUCAGCUAGUUCGAGCUUUCGGUGAAGCUGAAGCUCAGAAAAUCUUGAGGGACUUGAAAUUCGUGUUCAUAUCACACAUCCAUGCGGACCAUCAUCUGGGACUGAUCGGUGUCCUGGUGAAGCGGAAAGAGCUGGGUCUAAGUGACAGGUUGCCGGUCUUCGCACCCUCUUUCCUCCCUGCUUGGCUGGGGUCAUAUUCUUCAACGUUCGAAAGCGUAGGAUGCCGUUUCAUCGAUUCGAGUAAUCUGUAUAACCUCAGAUUGCAUCCGGAAGGUUAUUUCUCCGAAUUUUCAGUGGAGCGGAUAACAACCUGUAAAGUGAUUCAUUGUCCCGAAGCCUACGGGAUCCGCGUAGACACCGGAGACUAUAGUAUCGUUUAUUCAGGAGACACACGUCCGUCUCCCGAACUCAUCGAAAUCGGCGAAGGCUGCGACUUGCUCAUACACGAAGCCACAAUGGAAGACGAUCUAGAAGAAGACGCGAAGGCCAAGAAACAUUCAACGACGUCACAAGCGAUACAAGUCGGGAAGGACAUGAAGGCGAAGUUCACGAUCCUGACGCACUUCUCGCAGCGUUACAGCAAACUGCCGCUCGUCGCAGAGAGCAUCUUCGAGGAAAGACGCGUGGGUCUUGCCUUCGAUUUCAUGCAGGUAGCCCCAAAAAAUCUCUACAUACUCCCUCACCUCUAUCCCAUGAUGAAGAAUGUGUUCGCCGAGUAUUACGAGAAAAUGGCGGAAAGAACGCAGAUCAAGGCACAGAGGAAGCUGAUUCUGCGAAACUGAGGCAUCACCUUUCAUCGUUGUACAGUUGUUUUCGGUCGCAAGAAAAUAACGAGAAUUUUGUUCGUCGUGUACAGUUGACUUUGUCCUUCUACCAUAAGAGUGUAAGAUGGGUAUAAUUGGGGUCCAGUUGAAAAGGACUCAGGGCUGCGGAAGUCGUGGAGGAGGAAUAAAAAUCUCUCGCUUCGAG
RNAcentral lists this long non-coding RNA (2488 nucleotides) under Galendromus occidentalis (western predatory mite). RNAcentral describes it as "ribonuclease Z, mitochondrial". Lineage: Eukaryota; Metazoa; Arthropoda; Arachnida; Mesostigmata; Phytoseiidae. The record is from RNAcentral.